GAUGAAGAACGUAGCGAAAUGCGAUACGUAAUGUGAAUUGCAGAAUUCAGUGAAUCAUCGAAUCUUUGAACGCACAUUGCGCCCCCUGGUAUUCCGGGGGGCAUGCCUGUUCGAGCGUCAUUACAACCCUCAAGCUCAGCUUGGUGUUGGGCCCCGCCGCCCCGGCGGGCCCUAAAGUCAGUGGCGGUGCCGUCCGGCUCCGAGCGUAGUAAUUCUUCUCGCUCUGGAGGUCCGGUCGUGUGCUCGCCAGCAACCCCCAAUUUUUUUCAGGUUGACCUCGGAUCAGGUAGGGAUACCCGCUGAACUUAAGCAUAUCAAUAAGCGGAGGA
RNAcentral lists this unclassified non-coding RNA (329 nucleotides) under soil metagenome. RNAcentral describes it as "partial contains 5.8S ribosomal RNA, internal transcribed spacer 2, and large subunit ribosomal RNA". The stretch from base 1 to 120 matches the Rfam family "5.8S ribosomal RNA", at positions 35 to 154 of the family's 154-position model. The record is from RNAcentral.